Molecule: ribosomal RNA, 421 nt
Filed under: uncultured bacterium
Lineage: Bacteria
Description: bacterial SSU rRNA
Rfam family: Bacterial small subunit ribosomal RNA
Source: RNAcentral
GACCCCGCACAAGCGGCGGAGCAUGCGGCUUAAUUCGAUGAUACGCGAGGAACCUUACCAGGACUUAAAUGUAAGUUGCAUGAUUCAGAAAUGAAUCUUUCUUCGGACUACUUACAAGGUGCUGCAUGGUUGUCGUCAGCUCGUGCCGUGAGGUGUCAGGUUAAGUCCUAUAACGAGCGCAACCCCUAUCGUUAGUUGCCAUCAAGUAAAGUUGGGAACUCUAGCGAAACUGCCGGUGCAAACCGUGAGGAAGGUGGGGAUGACGUCAAAUCAUCACGGCCCUUACGUUCUGGGCUACACACGUGCUACAAUGGCCGGUACAGAAAGCAGCCACUAUGCGAAUAGGAGCUAAUCUUUAAAACCGGUCUCAGUUCGGAUCGCAGUCUGCAACUCGACUGCGUGAAGCUGGAAUCGCUAGUAA